This 45-nucleotide non-coding RNA is filed under the name Schistosoma mansoni. RNAcentral also lists the same sequence under 1 other name. Lineage: Eukaryota; Metazoa; Platyhelminthes; Trematoda; Strigeidida; Schistosomatidae. The record is from RNAcentral.
AUUCAGCUGACGAGUCUCAAAUAGGACGAAACGCGUGUCCUGGAU